GAGUUUGAUUAUGGCUCAGGAUGAACGCUGGCGGCGUGCCUAACACAUGCAAGUCGAACGGAGAACUUAAGUGGAAGUUUUCGGAUGGAAACUUUUGUUCUUAGUGGCGGACGGGUGAGUAACGCGUGGGCAACCUGCCUCAUACAGGGGGACAACAGACGGAAACGUCUGCUAAGACCGCAUACGUCUUUUUGGUCGCAUGACUGAGAAGGGAAAAGAGCAAUCUGGUAUGAGAUGGGCCCGCGUCUGAUUAGCUGGUUGGUAAGGUAACGGCUUACCAAGGCAACGAUCAGUAGCCGGACUGAGAGGUCGGACGGCCACAUUGGGACUGAGACACGGCCCAAACUCCUACGGGAGGCAGCAGUGGGGGAUAUUGCACAAUGGAGGAAACUCUGAUGCAGCGACGCCGCGUGAGUGAAGAAGUAUUUCGGUAUGUAAAGCUCUAUCAGCAGGGAAGAUGAUGAC
Molecule: ribosomal RNA, 465 nt
Filed under: Catonella sp. canine oral taxon 158
Lineage: Bacteria; Bacillati; Bacillota; Clostridia; Lachnospirales; Lachnospiraceae
Description: bacterial SSU rRNA
Rfam family: Bacterial small subunit ribosomal RNA
Source: RNAcentral